GGUUCCGUGGCGUAGCAGUCAGCACGUCUGCUUUACACGCAGAAGGUCCUGGGUUCAUGCCCCAGUGGAGCUA
RNAcentral lists this transfer RNA (73 nucleotides) under Pteropus alecto (black flying fox). It matches the Rfam family "tRNA". Rfam says of the family: Transfer RNA (tRNA) molecules are approximately 80 nucleotides in length. Their secondary structure includes four short double-helical elements and three loops (D, anti-codon, and T loops). Further hydrogen bonds mediate the characteristic L-shaped molecular structure. tRNAs have two regions of fundamental functional importance: the anti-codon, which is responsible for specific mRNA codon recognition, and the 3' end, to which the tRNAs corresponding amino acid is attached (by aminoacyl-tRNA synthetases). tRNAs cope with the degeneracy of the genetic code in two manners: having more than one tRNA (with a specific anti-codon) for a particular amino acid; and 'wobble' base-pairing, i.e. permitting non-standard base-pairing at the 3rd anti-codon position. The record is from Rfam by way of RNAcentral. Lineage: Eukaryota; Metazoa; Chordata; Mammalia; Chiroptera; Pteropodidae.